CCUACGGGCGGCAGCAGUGGGGAAUAUUGGACAAUGGGCGAAAGCCUGAUCCAGCCAUGCCGCGUGUGUGAAGAAGGCCUUCGGGUUGUAAAGCACUUUCAGUGGGGAAGAAAGCCUUGGGGCUAAUACCCUCGAGGAAGGACAUCACCCACAGAAGAAGCACCGGCUAACUCCGUGCCAGCAGCCGCGGUAAUACGGAGGGUGCGAGCGUUAAUCGGAAUUACUGGGCGUAAAGCGCGCGUAGGCGGUCUGAUAAGCCGGUUGUGAAAGCCCCGGGCUCAACCUGGGAGCGGCAUCCGGAACUGUCAGGCUAGAGUGCAGGAGAGGAAGGUAGAAUUCCCGGUGUAGCGGUGAAAUGCGUAGAGAUCGGGAGGAAUACCAGUGGCGAAGGCGGCCUUCUGGACUGACACUGACGCUGAGGUGCGAAAGCGUGGGUAGCAAACAGGAUUAGAUACCCCUGUAGUC
This 465-nucleotide ribosomal RNA is filed under the name Vreelandella stevensii. RNAcentral's name for it is "partial 16S ribosomal RNA". It matches the Rfam family "Bacterial small subunit ribosomal RNA", at positions 338 to 795 of the family's 1533-position model. Lineage: Bacteria; Pseudomonadati; Pseudomonadota; Gammaproteobacteria; Oceanospirillales; Halomonadaceae. The record is from RNAcentral.